GCCUGCCCAGUGACCCUGUUUAACGGCCGCGGUAUCCUAACCGUGCGAAGGUAGCGUAAUCACUUGUUCUCUAAAUGCGGACUAGUAUGAACGGCAUCACGAGGGUUAUACUGUCUCCUCUUUCUAAUCAGUGAAACUAAUCUCCCCGUGAAGAAGCGGGGAUAAAACUAUAAGACGAGAAGACCCUAUGGAGCUUUAAACAAUAUAGCACUUGCCUUUAGCAUAAAUUUCCAAAUUACUCCAAAGCAAUAUGACUAUAAGUUUUUGGUUGGGGUGACCACGGAGCAGAAUUUAACCUCCAUGUUGAAAGAAUUUAAGCUAAGAGUCACUCUUCUAAGCAUCAACAUAUUGACAUCAAUUGACCCAAUACAUUUGAACAACGAACCAAGUUACCCUAGGGAUAACAGCGCA
Molecule: ribosomal RNA, 411 nt
Filed under: Nectophrynoides tornieri (Tornier's forest toad)
Lineage: Eukaryota; Metazoa; Chordata; Amphibia; Anura; Bufonidae
Description: partial 16S ribosomal RNA
Rfam family: Bacterial large subunit ribosomal RNA
Source: RNAcentral